RNAcentral lists this ribosomal RNA (253 nucleotides) under uncultured bacterium. RNAcentral's name for it is "partial 16S ribosomal RNA". It matches the Rfam family "Bacterial small subunit ribosomal RNA", at positions 524 to 776 of the family's 1533-position model. The record is from RNAcentral.
UACGAAGGGGGCUAGCGUUGUUCGGAAUCACUGGGCGUAAAGCGCACGUAGGCGGAUGUGCCAGUCAGGGGUGAAAUCCCGGAGCUCAACUUCGGAACUGCCUCUGAUACAGCACGUCUUGAGUCCGGAAGAGGUGGGUGGAAUUCCCGGUGUAGCGGUGAAAUGCGCAGAUAUCGGGAGGAACACCAAUGGCGAAGGCAGCUCGCUGGGACGGUACUGACGCUGAGACGCGAAGGCGUGGGGAGCAAACAGG